Molecule: long non-coding RNA, 1580 nt
Organism: Austrofundulus limnaeus
Lineage: Eukaryota; Metazoa; Chordata; Actinopteri; Cyprinodontiformes; Rivulidae
Exons: 2
Source: RefSeq, a predicted model, not a curated record
CUUUAAUUCUGUGCAGGAYGACCCUGAAGAUAGAGUUCCCUACGCCUCCAUCAGCUACACCAGRACGUCCAACAACAACAGCAAGGUUAAAAUGGAGGAAGACAAUGAAACUGUGACUUACAGCACUGUGAAAGCUCCGCCCACUGAUCCCAGCAGCCUCUACGCUUCAAUCACCAAGUAACCAAACCAACCACACUCUGCUGGUCACAUAUGAGGACAGGUCUUGUGAAAUCAAUGUGUUACAAUUAUGUUGCAUUGUGGGAAAGUGCAUUUGCAAUGCCUUAAAGUUUGAGAACAAAGUAAYUGGGCUCGUAUUUUGUAUUUGAAGACGUUUCACUUCCCAWCAGGSWGRUUUUUUUCAUUUUAAAACUGUAGAAUGUKGAGUUGUAAGCUUUAAACUGCGUCAUAUGCAGCUUAAAUCACCCGCAGAUUAAUCUCUCUCCCUCCCUCCUGAGGGUGGUUAGGGGGUUUUGUUUGCCCCAGAGGAGCGGGUCUCAGAUUUCAGAUUUGUAAUGGGGCAUUAAGCCCGAYACCCUCAUUUUCUCUAAUCAUUCAUGUGACCAAAGCAUGUCUCCUGUGAGCCAGGCAAACAAAGACCCUAAUGACCCUCAGGAGGGCGGGCCCAACAAUCCUCACUGCACUGACCGACGUGUUCAUGCAAAAACAUAAAAAAAAGAUGAAUUCAUCUUGAGGAAGUGGCUUUGGGUUCUGUCUUUCUAACGCCUACAGAAAACCCACGACUCGUCUAGUUUCCGAACCAACCACACACCUCAAAUGUGACCAAAACAGCUCACAUGUUGGUCUCAUCAAGAGGUGUGAAUGCUUUGAAUGACUCACAGGAUGGAGCAGUGGGUUGUGUGCCUUUGAUGACCCUGUUAUUGGGAUUGUCAGGAUGACGACACAUAAACCUCUCAACCCACGAUCCAAACUAAAAACCUCUUUYAGAYGAAGUGAAACAUSUUCAAGGAUAAUAAAAAAAUCCAGYUGCUUUCAUCAGAACUCUGUAUUUGUUCUGUAAUGUAUCCAAACUGAGCUUGUUUUUAUCAGUAUUAGUGCCUGAUGUCUAAUUUAAUCACUUUUAUGUCAGUAUGCAGAGAAGCUAAAGGGACAGAUGUUAUCAGAGUAUUUUCAGACUAAGCUGUGAAAUGAGGAAAUGUAAAAUGUUGCAAUGAAACUUCUCUUUAAGAGGAAGUUUCUUAGUUGGAGGAAAUGCAGAAAAGAAAAAAGAAGUUCUGGCACGCAGUAAGUGUCAACUCACUGGUGUCAAAGUCAGUUAUUUUAACCCAUUUAAAUAAGACAAAUGUAUUUUUAAGAGAAUGGCAUUUAAAGAAAUAAUUUUAAUAUAAAUGAAUGUUACUUUUGACUAAUAUUUUACAUGAGGCUAAGAACCGCUAUGUUCUCUAAAAACUAUUUAACUUAUUUUUAUGUGUUUGUCAGAAACUUCCAGAUAGUUAAGCUCAUUCAGUUUUGUUGCUGUGACGUCACCUGCUGGGAGAAAAAUCAUUAAACUGUUAAAGUGGGAGAGCUGCAGUUGUGUCAAGUAAAUGGUUUCAUGUGAAAUAAAGAAAUUCAGUUUGGAA